GAAGGCAUUCGACAAGGAUGUUUUCUUUAAUCAAGAACGAAAGUUAUGGGAUCGAAGAUGAUCAGAUACCGUCGUAGUCAUAACCGUAAACUAUGUUGACUCGGGAUCGGGGGAUGUUACAUGGAUGACUCUCCCGGCACCGUGUGCGAAAGCACAAGUAUUCGAACUCCGGGGGGAGUAUGGUCGCAAGGCUGAAACUUAAAGGAAUUGACGGAAGGGCACCACCAGGUGUGGAAUCUGCGGCUUAAUUUGACUCAACACGGGGAAACUUACCCAGUCCGGACGCGAUGAGGAUUGACAGAUUGAUAGUUCUUUCUUGAUUUUGUGGAAGCCGGUGCAUGGCCGUUUUUAGUUGGUGGAGUGAUUUGUCUGGUUAAGUCCGAUAACGAACGAGACCUAAAUUUAUUAAAUAGUGGUGCGAACAAGGGGGCUUUCGCGGCGGGUUCGGGUUCGCCCGGGCCCGUCGGGGCCUCCGUAAAUUUGUUCGUAGCUUUUUGUACUUCUUAGAGAGACACUUGGUCGAUAACAGCAGCCAAUGGAAGUUUUAGGCAAAAACAGGUCUGUGAUGCCGCUAGAUGUCUGGGGCUGCACGCGCGUUACACUGACAUGUUCAACGAGUAUUUAAGAACGACCUGGCCCGAAGGGGUUUGGGCAAUCUAAAAAUGCAUGUCGUGAUGGGGAUUGUGCUUUGUAACUAUCGCACAUGAACGAGGAAUACCUAGUAAGGGUAGGUCAUCAACCUGUCCUGAUUACGUCCCUGCCCUUUGUACACACCGCCCGUCGCUUCUACCGAUUGAAUUACUCGAUGAGGACUCGGGAGGUGGGGCUUGAUCCGGUUCCGCCGGUGAUGCUCUGCCGAACCUGUUCGAAUCUCGUAGUUAG
Molecule: ribosomal RNA, 882 nt
Filed under: Saccamoeba sp. SC007
Lineage: Eukaryota; Tubulinea; Elardia; Euamoebida; Hartmannellidae
Description: bacterial SSU rRNA
Rfam family: Eukaryotic small subunit ribosomal RNA
Source: RNAcentral